Molecule: long non-coding RNA, 285 nt
Filed under: Solanum tuberosum (potato)
Lineage: Eukaryota; Viridiplantae; Streptophyta; Magnoliopsida; Solanales; Solanaceae
Description: long non-coding RNA (STUB_LNC011569)
Source: RNAcentral
AAAUGUUCAAGCCUGGGAUCGAACCCAGGCUGAGUUUUGCCUUUUCUAAGAGAACAAACGGAAUAAUGAAAAAAUUUAAAGAAAACGUCAACACUUGGGCUCGAACCCGGAACGCUGAGGCAUCUUUGCACAACCUUAACCGCUGGGCUGUCAACCUUUAUUGUGUCAAGGUUGUUCAACUGUUAGUAUAUAUCCAAAAAACUCGAUAUUUAGUAUAUAUACCCGUAAAAAUUUUCCGACGAAGGUUGUUCAUCUGACCACCCUCGCCAUGUCGUAGCUCCGCCC